RNAcentral lists this long non-coding RNA (1218 nucleotides) under Ananas comosus (pineapple). RNAcentral's name for it is "long non-coding RNA (ACOM_LNC034201)". The record is from RNAcentral. Lineage: Eukaryota; Viridiplantae; Streptophyta; Magnoliopsida; Poales; Bromeliaceae.
AUAUAUAGUAAGGCUACUACGCUUUUAGAAGCAUAGAGCCUUCCGUACUUUCAGGUCGUUUUUUAUAUUACGACUUUCAAAUCGUCGAUCAGCUCUGUUAAACUUGAUUUAGAGUAUUUGAAGUAUCUAGAAAAUAAAUUAUGCAAUUUUUUGAUAUUAUUUGCCUAGUGAACGAAGAGGCUCAAAAUCAACGGUUGAAAAUAAAAAUCUUACAAAACGAGAUAAUAUUACAUUAAAAUUUUAGAUCAAAGGUAUUGAUCUUAUUUUAUAUAGUAUAAAAAAUUUUCUAUCAAAAUUUCACGUGAUUUGGAUAUUUCUACACCGUUAAACUUCCAAACGGCUCACUACGGCCAUUAAAAUUAUGAAUUUUGAGCCCCUUCGAUCACUAGGCAAAUGAUAUCGAAAAAUCAUAAAAUUUAUUUUUUAGGUAUUUCAAAUAUUCUAUAUCAAGUUAACGGAGCUGAUUGACAAUUCGAAAGUCGCAACAUCGAAAACGACCUGAAAGUACGAAAGACUCCGUGCUUCCAGAAGCAUAGUAGCCUCACACUAUAUAUAUGUAUAGUCCGACUGUUAUACUCUUAUGAGUACGAUUGUUCUCGUACUCAAAAGUUGUUUUUGAUUAUAGAGCUUCCGAAUUGACGAUUCAUAUCGUUAAAUGUUAUCUACAGCAUUUAAAGCGUAUAGAAAUCAAAUUUUAUAAUUUUUUGACAUCAUUCACCUUACGAUCAAAAUGUCACAAAAUUGAUAAUUUUUAAUGACCAGUAUAAGAUAUUUACUAGUUUCGGUGUAAAAGAAUCAAAAUCAGUUGAAUUUUUGAUAGAAAAUUCUAUUCACUACAUAGAUAAUGAUCAAUAACUCCAAUCUUAAAUUAAAGGAUUCAAUCAUCCAUUUUUAAGACGUCGUUCGAUUUUGAUCGUUCAUUUUAUUCCAACUUGAUGAACUUAAAUAUGAUUUUAAAAAAUUACGAAAUUUAUUUUCUAUAAAUUUCGAAUAUUUUAGAUUAUAUCUAACGGAGUGAAUCGUCGAUUCAGAAGUUCCAUCAUUGAAAAUAACUUAUAAGUAUGAAGGGUUCUAUAUAUAUAUAUAUAUAUUAAGUGGAUCGUCGAUUUAUAAGUACGAAGUAGAUCGUCGAUUCAUUGAAAAUCUGUCGCUAUCAAUAGUAUUCCAGCCUAACUCUCUCUAUAUAUAUAUUAUUAAAGUAUUAAGAAGCUUAUACGA